RNAcentral lists this ribosomal RNA (497 nucleotides) under uncultured bacterium. RNAcentral describes it as "partial 16S ribosomal RNA". It matches the Rfam family "Bacterial small subunit ribosomal RNA", at positions 28 to 507 of the family's 1533-position model. The record is from RNAcentral.
GAUGAACGCUGGCGGCGUGCCUAAUACAUGCAAGUCGAGCGAACGGACUAGAAGCUUGCUUCUCUGAUGUUAGCGGCGGACGGGUGAGUAACACGUGGAUAACCUACCUAUAAGACUGUGAUAACUUCGGGAAACCGUAGCUAAUACCGGAUGAUAUUUUGAACCGCAUGGUUCAAUUGUUAAAGACGUUCUUGCUGUCACUUAUAGAUGGUUCCGCGCUGCAUUAGCUAGUUGGUAAGGUAACGGCUUACCAAGGCAACGAUUCAUAGCCGACCUGAGAGGGUGAUCGGCCACACUGGAACUGAGACACGGACCAGACGACUACGGGAGGCAGCAGAAGGGAAUAUUCCGCAAAGGGCGAAAGCAUGACGGAGCAACGCCGAGUGAGUGAUGAAGGACUUAGGAUCGGAAAACUCUGUUAUUAGGGAAGAAAAGAUGGGUAAGUAACUGUGCACAGAUUGACGGUAACUAAUCAGAAAGCAACGGCUAACUACGUG